GUGCUUGCUUUGGCAGCACAUGUAUGAAAAUUGGAAUGAUACAGAGAAGAUUAGCAUGGUCUCUGCACAAGGAUGACAUGUAAAUACAUGAGGCGUUCCAUAUUAAA
This is a small nuclear RNA of Nycticebus coucang (slow loris), 107 nucleotides long. The record is from RefSeq and is a predicted model, not a curated record. Lineage: Eukaryota; Metazoa; Chordata; Mammalia; Primates; Lorisidae.